This 484-nucleotide ribosomal RNA is filed under the name uncultured bacterium. RNAcentral's name for it is "partial 16S ribosomal RNA". It matches the Rfam family "Bacterial small subunit ribosomal RNA", at positions 30 to 507 of the family's 1533-position model. The record is from RNAcentral.
AUUGAACGCUGGCGGCAGGCCUAACACAUGCAAGUCGAGCGGAUGAAGGGAGCUUGCUCCUGGAUUCAGCGGCGGACGGGUGAGUAAUGCCUAGGAAUCUGCCUGGUAGUGGGGGAUAACGUCCGGAAACGGGCGCUAAUACCGCAUACGUCCUGAGGGAGUAAGUGGGGGAUCUUCGGACCUUACGCUAUCAGAUGAGCCUAGGUCGGAUUAUCUAGUUGGUGGGGUAAAGGCCUACCAAGGCGACGAUCCGUAACUGGUCUGAGAGGAUGAUCAGUCACACUGGAACUGAGACACGGUCCAGACUCCUACGGGAGGCAGCAGUGGGGAAUAUUGGACAAUGGGCGAAAGCCUGAUCCAGCCAUGCCGCGUGUGUGAAGAAGGUCUUCGGAUUGUAAAGCACUUUAAGUUGGGAGGAAGGGCAGUAAGUUAAUACCUUGCUGUUUUGACGUUACCAACAGAAUAAGCACCGGCUAACUUCGUG